RNAcentral lists this ribosomal RNA (253 nucleotides) under uncultured bacterium. RNAcentral's name for it is "partial 16S ribosomal RNA". It matches the Rfam family "Bacterial small subunit ribosomal RNA", at positions 524 to 776 of the family's 1533-position model. The record is from RNAcentral.
UACGAGAGGCCCAAACGUUAUUCGGAUUUACUGGGCUUAAAGAGUUCGUAGGCGGCGCGGAAAGUAGGGUGUGAAAGCCCUCGGCUCAACCGAGGAAUUGCGCCCUAAACUGCCGUGCUUGAGGAACCUAGAGGUGAGCAGAACAGAUGGUGGAGCGGUGAAAUGCGUUGAUAUCAUCUGGAAUACCGGAGGCGAAGGCGGCUCACUGGGGGUUUUCUGACGCUGAGGAACGAAAGCCAGGGGAGCGAACGGG